RNAcentral lists this ribosomal RNA (358 nucleotides) under uncultured bacterium. RNAcentral's name for it is "partial 16S ribosomal RNA". It matches the Rfam family "Bacterial small subunit ribosomal RNA", at positions 1034 to 1392 of the family's 1533-position model. The record is from RNAcentral.
ACAGGUGGUGCAUGGUUGUCGUCAGCUCGUGUCGUGAGAUGUUGGGUUAAUUCCCGCAACGAGCGCAACCCUUGUUUUUAUUACCCACCAUUUUAGGGGGGCCCUUUGAAAAAAAUGCCCGGGAAAACCGGGAAGAAGGGGGGGAAGAACUCAAAUCCUCCUGCCCCUUUAGAUCUGGGCUACCCCCCUGCUACAAUGGGGGGGAAAAAGGGAAGCAAAACCCGGAUGGCGAACAAACCCCAAAAAAGCCGUCUCAUUUCGGAUUGUAGUCUGCAACUCCCCUACAUGAAGCUGGAAUCGCUAGUAAUCGGGAAUCAAAACGCCCCGGUAAAUACUUUCCCGGGUUUUGUACACACCG